AACAAACGCUGGCGGCGUGCCUAAUACAUGCAAGUCGAACGGGGAAAGCUUUCGGGUGAGUACUAGUGGCGCACGGGUGAGGAACGCGUGGAUAAUCUGCCUUAGAGUGGGGGAUAACUAGUCGAAAGAUUAGCUAAUACCGCAUAAGACCACGAGAGCUGCGGCUUUGGAGGUCAAAGGUUUUUCGCUCUAAGAUGAGUCCGCGUAAGAUUAGCUAGUUGGUGAGGUAACGGCUCACCAAGGCGACGAUCUUUAACUGGUCUGAGAGGAUGAUCAGUCACACUGGCACUGAGACACGCUCCAGACUCCUACGGGAGGCGGCAGGAGGGAAUAUUGCACAAUGGAGGAAACUCUGAUGCAGCGACGCCGCGUGAGUGAUGAAGGCCUUCGGGUCGUAAAGCUCUGUCGCAGGGGAAUAACACAAUGACGGUACCCUGUAAGAAAGGAUCGGCUAACUUCGUG
This 462-nucleotide ribosomal RNA is filed under the name uncultured bacterium. RNAcentral describes it as "partial 16S ribosomal RNA". It matches the Rfam family "Bacterial small subunit ribosomal RNA", at positions 29 to 507 of the family's 1533-position model. The record is from RNAcentral.